Molecule: ribosomal RNA, 253 nt
Filed under: uncultured bacterium
Lineage: Bacteria
Description: partial 16S ribosomal RNA
Rfam family: Bacterial small subunit ribosomal RNA
Source: RNAcentral
UACGUAGGUGGCGAGCGUUGUCCGGAAUUACUGGGUGUAAAGCGCGUGUAGGCGGCAGGCCAAGUCGGUGGUGAAAGUGCCCGGCUCAACUGGGCGAGGUCCAUGGAAACUGGUCAGCUGGAGGACGGUAGAGGCGAGUGGAAUUCCCGGUGUAGUGGUGGAAUGCGCAGAUAUCAGGAGGAACACCGGUGGCGAAGGCGGAUCUCUGGGCCAUAACUGACGCUGAGGAGCGAAAGCGUGGGGAGCGAGCAGG